This 289-nucleotide ribosomal RNA is filed under the name uncultured Kocuria sp. RNAcentral's name for it is "partial 16S ribosomal RNA". It matches the Rfam family "Bacterial small subunit ribosomal RNA", at positions 67 to 355 of the family's 1533-position model. Lineage: Bacteria; Bacillati; Actinomycetota; Actinomycetes; Micrococcales; Micrococcaceae. The record is from RNAcentral.
CUGAAGCACCAGCUUGCUGGUGUGGAUGAGUGGCGAACGGGUGAGUAAUACGUGAGUAACCUGCCCUUGACUCUGGGAUAAGCCCGGGAAACUGGGUCUAAUACUGGAUGCUACAUGUCACCGCAUGGUGGUGUGUGGAAAGGGUUUACUGGUCUUGGAUGGGCUCACGGCCUAUCAGCUUGUUGGUGAGGUAAUGGCUCACCAAGGCGACGACGGGUAGCCGGCCUGAGAGGGUGACCGGCCACACUGGGACUGAGACACGGCCCAGACUCCUACGGGAGGCAGCAGU